CCAAUAGCGUAUAUUAAAGUUGCUGCAGUUAAAAAGCUCGUAGUUGAAUUUCGGGACCAUCAUGUCGGUCGUACUUAGGUACGUACUGGCAUUGUUGGUUUCUCCCUUCUGACGAACCAUGAUGUCAUUUAUUUGGUGUUGUGGGGAAUCAGGACUGUUACUUUGAAAAAAUUAGAGUGUUUAAAGCAGGCUCACGCUGGAAUACAUUAGCAUGGAAUAAUGAAAUAGGCAGUUUGAUUCUAUUUUGUUGGUUUCUAGGAUCGACGUAAUGAUUAAUAGGGGUAGUUGGGGGCAUUAGUAUUCAAUUGUCAGAGGUGAAAUUCUUGGAUUUAUUGAAGACUAACUACUGCGAAAGCAUUUGCCAAGGAUGUUUUCAUUAAUCAAGAACGAAAGUUAGGGGAUCGAAGACGAUCAGAUACCGUCGUAGUCUUAACCAUAAACUAUGCCGACUAGGGAUCGGAUGAUGUUAAUUUUUUAAUGACUCAUUCGGCGCCUUACG
Molecule: ribosomal RNA, 499 nt
Filed under: uncultured Glomeromycotina
Lineage: Eukaryota; Fungi; Glomeromycota
Description: partial small subunit ribosomal RNA
Rfam family: Eukaryotic small subunit ribosomal RNA
Source: RNAcentral